Molecule: ribosomal RNA, 532 nt
Filed under: Chlorobium sp. N1
Lineage: Bacteria; Pseudomonadati; Chlorobiota; Chlorobiia; Chlorobiales; Chlorobiaceae
Description: partial 23S ribosomal RNA
Rfam family: Bacterial large subunit ribosomal RNA
Source: RNAcentral
UUUUUGGUUAAGUUACUAAGGGCGUACGGUGGAUGCCUUGGCACAAGAAGGCGAUGAAGGACGUGGUUUAACUGCGAAAAGCUGCGGGGAGGCGUAAACAGCCUGAUAUCCGCAGAUGUCCGAAUGGGGCAACCCACCUCUAUGAGGUAUCCCGAAAGGGAGGCUAACCCGGGGAAGUGAAACAUCUCAGUACCCGGUGGAAAAGAAAACAAAAGUGAUUUCCCCAGUAGCGGCGAGCGAAAAGGAAAGAGCCCAAACCGGCUGCUGUUUCGGCAGCGCCGGGGUUGUAGGACUCCAUAACGUGACAGGAAUCGAUAGCAGAACUACCUGGAAAGGUAGGCCAAAGAGGGUGACAGCCCCGUAAGCGAAAUCGUGAACUGCACAGGAGGAUCCUGAGUAGCACGGGGUACGUGAGGUCCUGUGUGAACCAGCGAGAACCAUCUCGUAAGGCUAAAUACUCUCUUGUGACCGAUAGUGAACUAGUACCGUGAGGGAAAGGUGAAAAGUACCCUUAAGAAGGGAGUGAAAUAGU